CCAAUUUUGUAAAAAAAAAGUUUGUAUUUCGUGUUGUUUGUAUAUAUGUUUCAAACAAAUAAAAACAUUGAAUUCACUUCUUAACAAGUGGUUCAUCACCAAAAACUUUGUCGACUUUUUUCUUCGCUGGUUACAGGGAGCCACACAUCCAAUCUUCUUCGCAGGUAAAUCAAAAAGGACCGAUUUUUCUUACAAUUUUUGCCAGGAAAUUCUGGCUGCCAUUUUCCUCGCUUAAUUUUUCCAUUUUCUUUUUACAUUAUUCCCUAAUAUUGACAUUUAAGUAAUUGGAAUAAUCAGCUGUUUUUUAGUAAUUGUUCUUCUUCUUCUUCUAGCUAUCAAUUAUUUUCAGGGUUACCCCUUUUAAAGGCGCACACCACAAAGCCGACUAUCCUGCUGAUAUCCUUAUCGAAGGAUAGGGGGAAAAAAAGUGCGACCUUUGGUUUAAAAAUGCAAAAAAAAAUCAAUGGUUUGAUAUGGUAUUUACAAAAAAUCGGUGUUUGGCAUCCCUAAUAAUCGCAGUCUGGCAUCCCUAACUCUGAUUUUCCAAACUAAAAUUUAAUUUUGGUCUGAUUUAUUUAUUACAAUAUUAAGCUCCAUUAGCCCGUAGGAACAUGGUAUAAUGUUUACGUCGUACGCCACGCGUUAUCGUUUAGUCUGAUGUAAGUUGACUACCGAUAGUAGUGACUAUCGAUAGUAGUGACGUUUAUGAAUGAAAACAAUCGGAGUACGCGUCUAUUGUAAUUUUUUUUGGCGGAUUGGAGCACGGACGGACGGAAAAUUUUGGAGCUGCAGAAAUGAUAAAAUUUGGAUUGGCGACUGCCUACGUUUGGAUUAAACGAAAGGUAAGAUUGAGACCAGAUAUUUUCUUUUUCUGUAGGGGUACCCUCAACUAGGUCCACACUUUGGUCAGAUUGUUGGAUACGAUAUUAUUUCAAAUGCAUUUAGAUGUGUUUGAUCGUGUCUUCCCGCUUCCAGACUCUAACGUCGUAAAUCGAUGACUGACAGCUCUGCGACCUUGUGUACAACACUCUUCUGCCUUGUGCCAUAGUUGCGUAUGGGAAUAUAAAGGAAGAGUGCACAAAUGGUCAAGGACAGUCACAACGUGACUGCUCAGGAAUCGUAGACAUAUUGUUAGAGUCGGUAAAUCUGGGAUGCUUCCGUUCGUAAUCCAACGGAUUCUUUCUGACCACUGCUGCUGGUGUCUAGGCGAGUGGCCUCCUAUGGUUACAUGAAAAAAUUUUCCAUGGUCUCAAUAAUCAAAAGACAUCUAGAGAAGUUACUCAAAUUGGAUAUUGCAUUCACAAAAAGACAUUUAUUACCUACAGGCGACUUAAUCUGCCUCUCCUGUGAAACCAGGAAAUUAUAUUUGAUGGUAAGUUCGAGUAAUCCUGUUCUCCUUUUUUCUCCAACAGGUGUACCAUCGACUAGACCUUCAGCUUUUGUCAGAAUGUCGGAUACGAUGGUUUGCAAAUGCACUUAGGUGUAUUUGUUCUUUUUGUCUUCUGGCUUCCAGACUCUAGUGUCGUAAGUCGGGUGAAGGACGGAUCUGCGACCUCGUGUACAACAGUUCCCUGGCCCGUGCCAAAGAGCGAACGGCUACUGCUUCACCGCGAAAGGGGAAUUGCACUAAUGGUCAAAGACAGUCACCAGGUGACUGCUCCGGAUGCGCAGACAUCAACUAGAGUCGGUAAACCCAGAGUGCUUUCAUUCGUACUCUGACUUCACAAUUCUGACAUCUGCUGUUAGAGUCUAGAAGAUUGGACUCCUGUUCGGAUGGAAAAAAACAGGGUUCCGAACUUUACCAAAUAUUCUAGCCGAGACUUGUGGUGGGACUACAGUCGGCGCUUCAGAAAUGAACGUAAGUUGUAGUUUUAAUUCUAUUUCGUAGUUUUUGUAAUUUUGCUCUGGAAAAUGAGAAAAAUUAUGAGAACUCAAUUUUUUAUAAACAUAAAUUUCAUAAUUUAUAACCAAAAUUUAGCUAAAAAAAAAAUUUGUAAGUAUGGCUUGAGAUGGACAUUUCAAAUUUAAUUUUAUUUUUAAGUUGUUCAUUUUUAUUCGUAUUUUUCUAUUUCGCCAAUAAUCCUACAUAAUGAUAUUUCACUAAUUCAUAUUUUUUUUCUUUUCCUUUAUGGCUCAAAAACUGGAGAAAUUGGGUUCAACCCUUACCCAUUCACACAACUACACACCACUCAGGAAGGAAAAGCUGUCCUACAGCUUGUUAAAAAUUCGGGAAUACUAAAAGGACAUUUCGUAAGUAGAAAUUCAGGUACUACUUCAACUAAAUUCAAUUGGAUCUUCCGGAACUCUUUGAAAAUUCAGGUUAUUCUGUACGGCAUACAAAUUCUAUUAUCCGGCAGAAUAAUUUGAUGUUUAAAAAAGAACUGGAAAAAAUCAAAUAAUGUUAGGUGGUGGAUUUCUGGUCAAAAUAGUGGGAUUUGGUGAGUUACACUGGCAAAACUGUGGGAUUUAAAUGAAGUAAAAAUGAACGGAGAAAAAUGGAAUAUGGAAUAGGCGGCUUACUCAGACAUCCCUAAAGAGGUUCCAUGACAAUACGACCAAUGGUCGGAAGCCAAAAUUGUCGCAGGACCGAAUGGAAACUCUAGGGCUUAACGGCGGGCACCCAGAGUGUAGAACCUUGACGGCAGCUUGUGACUAAGGCUUUUUCCCAAAACCUGAGGACGAACAAAGGAAUGUAGGUCGAUACCACAUUAAAUCGACAAUCUAACCAAUGCCGGGUAACCUAACCUUGAAUUGAGCUCAGUUCAAUGUCGCGUACCUGCAUACCAACACAAAAAAAACCGCGGAAUUUAAUUAUGUUGCUUAGUCGUCUGUCUGUCUGUCCGGAGUUUCAUGUAUUAAAUGUCGAUUGGGAAUGAUACCAAGCCACGCUGGAACAGCAAUGGCGUAAACUCUGCGCCUCCCUCGGUGGAUUGGAUGGGCGAUGGUGUGGCUUGUAGGCUCCAAUUCUUCAGGAAUUUCUAGGUUUAAGAUUUAUUUUCUUGGUUUAGAUUUUUAGUUAAUUGUUGUGGUUUUUCUUUUCAAUUUUGUUAAAUUGUUUCGAAAUUUUGUUUUAAAUUUAAGUAAGUUCAAUUUGUCUUUUAAUUUUCAAUUUUU
Musca domestica (house fly) is the source of this 3114-nucleotide long non-coding RNA. RefSeq lists it as uncharacterized. The record is from RefSeq and is a predicted model, not a curated record. The transcript has 9 exons. NCBI's taxonomy places the organism in Eukaryota, Metazoa, Arthropoda, Insecta, Diptera, Muscidae.